Molecule: ribosomal RNA, 165 nt
Filed under: uncultured bacterium
Lineage: Bacteria
Description: partial 16S rRNA
Rfam family: Bacterial small subunit ribosomal RNA
Source: RNAcentral
UAGGGAAUCUUCGGCAAUGGGGGCAACCCUGACCGAGCAACGCCGCGCGAGUGAAGAAGGUUUUCGGAUCGUAAAGCUCUGUUGUAAGAGAAGAACGUGUGUGAGAGUGGAAAGUUCACACAGUGACGGUAACUUACCAGAAAGGGACGGCUAACUACGUGCAAG